Entelurus aequoreus (snake pipefish) is the source of this 3420-nucleotide long non-coding RNA. RefSeq lists it as uncharacterized. NCBI's taxonomy places the organism in Eukaryota, Metazoa, Chordata, Actinopteri, Syngnathiformes, Syngnathidae. The transcript has 2 exons. The record is from RefSeq and is a predicted model, not a curated record.
UCUCUCUCUCUCUCUCUAUAUAUAUAUAUAUAUAUAUAUAUAUAAUUUUUUUUUUUUUUUUUUAAAUUAAUGUUGGCCAAAGGGGGCACAUUUCAAUUUCUUACACACACUUGUUAUUUCAUAUGUUGACCAGAGGGGGAACACUUUUAAAACCAACAGUCAAUUUGAAAAAUCCCUCCUUUUUGGGACCACCCUCAUUUUAAUAGAUUUCACCAGCAGGGGCGCACGUGAGAUCUGUUUUUUGUAACGUGCUUAAGGUCGAUGACAAAGGAGUCAGGGGCCACAGAUGACAAAGGAGUCAGGGGCCACAGAUGACAAAGGAGUCAGGGGCCACAGAUGACAAAGGAGUCAGGGGCCACAGAUGACAAAGGAGUCAGGGGCCACAGAUGACAAAGGAGUCAGGGGCCACAGAUGACAAAGGAGUCAGGGGCCACAGAUGACAAAGGAGUCAGGGGCCACAGAUGACAAAGGAGUCAGGGGCCACAGAUGACAAAGGAGUCAGGGGCCACAGAUGACAAAGGAGUCAGGGGCCACAGAUGACAAAUGUGUCAGGGGCCACAGAUGACAAAUGAGUCAGGGGCCACAUAUGACAAAUGUGUCAGGGGCCACAGAUGACAAAUGUGUCAGGGGCCACAGAUGACAAAUGUGUCAGGGGCCACAGAUGACAAAUGUGUCAGGGGCCACAGAUGACAAAGGAGUCAGGGACCACAGAUGACAAAUGAGUCAGGGACCACAGAUGACAAAUGAGUCAGGGGCCACAUAUGACAAAUGUGUCAGGGGCCACAGAUGACAAAGGAGUCAGGGGCCACAUAUGACAAAGGAGUCAGGGGCCACAGAUGACAAAUGUGUCAGGGGCAAAUGAGUCAGGGGCCACAUAUGACAAAUGAGUCAGGGGCCACAGAUGACAAAUGUGUCAGGGGCCACAGAUGACAAAUGUGUCAGGGGCCACAGAUGACAAAGGAGUCAGGGACCACAGAUGACAAAUGAGUCAGGGGCCACAUAUGACAAAUGUGUCAGGGGCCACAGAUGACAAAGGAGUCAGGGGCCACAUAUGACAAAGGAGUCAGGGGCCACAGAUGACAAAUGUGUCAGGGGCAAAUGAGUCAGGGGCCACAUAUGACAAAUGUGUCAGGGGCCACAGAUGACAAAGGAGUCAGGGGCCACAUAUGACAAAGGAGUCAGGGACCACAGAUGACAAAGGAGUCAGGGGCCACAGAUGACAAAUGUGUCAGGGGCCACAGAUGACAAAGGCGUCAGGGGCCACAGAUGACAAAGGAGUCAGGGGCCACAGAUGACAAAGGAGUCAGGGGCCACAGAUGGCCCCUGUGCCGCACAUUAACAGUUAGCUGUAGCAGCUAAGUGUUAAUGUCCAGUAUAGUCUUAGUAGUGUGGUGUAUGUGUUCAUCCUAUAUGCUUGUCUUACGUCACCACAGGAAGUGCUCAAAUCAGAUGUUCACCUGGCGGGGAUGAAUAGGGAAGUCCUUCUUUAUCUGGUCUGAUCAUAUAUUGCUGCCUUUGCACCUGGCGGGGAUGAAUAGGGAAGUCCUUCUUUAUCUGGUCUGAUCAUAUAUUGCUGCCUUUGCACCUGGCGGGGAUGAAUAGGGAAGUCCUUCUUUAGCUGCCAUCUGGUCUGAUCAUAUAUUGCUGCCUUUGCACCUGUCAAUGUUUACUUUUUUAUGCACAUUCAAUCAACAACAAAUCCUGACUUUGGAGCAAUGUUCACAGACUCUAGUAUUUGGCUCUCUAUUAGAUGCAAUGCUAUUGGGAGCAUGAUUUAUGACAUGACUUGUUCACACCUCCUCAUAUGGAAGCUACUUUUCCUUGUUGAUGUCUCAAGAAGGCUAGAAAUACAAGAACACACACACAACUAGCACUUUGAGCACAAUGCUAGCGGCCUCCUGGACAGCAGGGUAAGAGUGGAUCUUCUACGCGACACUCGCCGGCAGCCCAAAAGCACAAAAACAUGCUGGGAGGGGGCGUGGCCUGAGGACUGAAACUACAAGGGGGCGGGGUCGUCAAUCUUUGCGAGAAGACGACCACAUGGUGUGAAUGUCCAAAGCGCCUUACAAAACCACACGACUGCUUCUUUUUCUAUGCUUUCAAAGAGAAACCCCGCCCCCGGAGCCGCACAGACCCCGCCCCCUCCACUAUGCCUUACUGGAGAUGAUUGCCCUUCUGUCAUGGCCGUCCAAGUGACAUCAUCAAACAUCACAUGACACCCGCCUCGCAACGUGCUGACUGAACAAAUGUUGCCCUUUUUCUAGACUUUGGCGGAGAAGUCAAAACAAAAAGCAAAAGGCUGCCGAUCAGAACGAUACCAUGGAUGAUACAGAAUGAUACCAUGGAUGAUACAUAAUGAUACCGCGGAUGAUACAGAACGAUGACAUGGAUGAUACAGAAUGAUACCAUCAGCGACGCGGCUGAAACGAUCAUUAGAAUGUUGUCAUUUUACAAAAGUAAACUUGUGGUUUAAAUGUGUCAAUUACCAGGGUAAAUAAUGUGUCAAUUACCAGGGUAAAUAAAAACAUCUCCAGGCUUGAAAUGACGUGAAAGUAAAGUGAAGGGGAACAAAAAGAGACAUUUGUCAUGUAUGACAACAAUAUCAUAGGAACAAACAACAACAACAGUAUAGUGUAUGAUUUUGUACAAGACACAAGUUGGACUUUUACAGUAAUAAAAUAGAAUUAUCAGGAAAAGAAUAGCCGAAUGUUUGUAUAAUGUCAAUUGAACCUUUCAUAACCAGAAGAAAGUAAUAAUGAAUGAAAGUGUGUAAAUUCCAUGACGUUCCCCCACAGUGAUGCUCCUGGUUUGAAUUGAUCCUGGUAAUUGAUCCUGGUAAUUGUGCAUUUGUUCUGGGCUUCUUUCAAAUGUUUAUUGGACAACAGAAUCUGGUUCCACGCGGCGCUGAUGGUCUUCUGUCUUCAGUCCCAGAUUGAGGCUGAUCACAUUGAUCAGUUUUGGAGAAGAUUUCAAAAGAACGACUGGAUGGAAAAACGUUGCCGUGUUUUCCACUAAAAAUGUGUUUUUUUUUCUGGGUAUGGCGGUUUAGUUUGUUGGGUGGUGCGUUCGUGGACUGAUCACUGAGGCGUUCAUUUGCAGAAGUAGCGUUGCACAAAGAGCGUCAAGAUUUGGUGUAGAAGUGCUGCUGUUUUUUUGGCGUAAUGUCGGUGAAGACGUGUACAUUUAGCUGGUGAUGUUCUCUUCUUGUACCAUUUCCACCACUUCCACCUCUAUGUCUUUUACAAAGACCAUUGGCGGAGUACUGUAAUAUCUAUCCUUGUUUGCUUCUGCUUUUCUUUUUGUAUUUUUAAUACAAUAAUUGUACAUAUUGGUUAUAUUUUUGUUGAAAUGUAUUAUUGUUUAUGCCUCAACAUCCAGUUUGUAUGAAAAGCUGGGAAUCAAUAAAUACCGCAUACAGAA